This 71-nucleotide transfer RNA is filed under the name Marmota monax (woodchuck). RNAcentral's name for it is "tRNA.Cys". Lineage: Eukaryota; Metazoa; Chordata; Mammalia; Rodentia; Sciuridae. The record is from RNAcentral.
UGGGGUAUGGCUCAGUGGUUGAGAGCUUUGCUACAAGUACAAGGCCCUGGGUUUGACUCCCAGCACUCCCC